AGAGUUUGAUCCUGGCUCAGAACGAACGCUGGCGGCAGGCCUAACACAUGCAAGUCGAACGUGAAGCCACCUUCGGGUGGUGGAAAGUGGCAGACGGGUGAGUAACGCGUGGGAACGUGCCCUUCGGUUCGGGAUAACCCAGGGAAACUUGGGCUAACACCGGAUACGCCCUUCGGGGGAAAAAUUUAUUGCCGAAGGAUCGGCCCGCGUCGGAUUAGCUUGUUGGCGGGGUAAAAGCCUACCAAGGCGACGAUCCGUAGCUGAUCUGAGAGGAUGAUCAGCCACACUGGGACUGAGACACGGCCCAGACUCCUACGGGAGGCAGCAGUGGGGAAUAUUGGACAAUGGGCGCAAGCCUGAUCCAGCCAUGCCGCGUGGGUGAAGAAGGCCUUAGGGUUGUAAAUCCCUUUCAGCGGGGAAGAUAAUGACGGUACCCGCAGAAGAAGCCCCGGCUAACUCCGUGCCAGCAGCCGCGGUAAUACGGAGGGGGCUAGCGUUGUUCGGAAUUACUGGGCGUAAAGCGCGCGUAGGCGGACCUGCAAGUCGGGGGUGAAAGCCCGAGGCUCAACCUCGGAACUGCCUUCGAUACUGCGGGUCUUGAGUCCGGGAGAGGUGAGUGGAAUUCCUAGUGUAGAGGUGAAAUUCGUAGAUAUUAGGAAGAACACCAGUGGCGAAGGCGGCUCACUGGCCCGGUACUGA
Molecule: ribosomal RNA, 699 nt
Filed under: uncultured bacterium
Lineage: Bacteria
Description: bacterial SSU rRNA
Rfam family: Bacterial small subunit ribosomal RNA
Source: RNAcentral